RNAcentral lists this ribosomal RNA (450 nucleotides) under uncultured bacterium. RNAcentral describes it as "partial 16S ribosomal RNA". It matches the Rfam family "Bacterial small subunit ribosomal RNA", at positions 354 to 796 of the family's 1533-position model. The record is from RNAcentral.
GUGGGGAAUAUUGGACAAUGGGCGAAAGCCUGAUCCAGCCAUGCCGCGUGUGUGAAGAAGGUCUUCGGAUUGUAAAGCACUUUAAGUUGGGAGGAAGGGCAGUAAGUUAAUACCUUGCUGUUUUGACGUUACCGACAGAAUAAGCACCGGCUAACUUCGUGCCAGCAGCCGCGGUAAUACGAAGGGUGCAAGCGUUAAUCGGAAUUACUGGGCGUAAAGCGCGCGUAGGUGGUUUUGUAAGUUGGAGGUGAAAUCCCCGGGCUCAACCUGGGAACUGCCUCCAAAAAUGCAUUACUAGAGUACGGUAGAGGGUAGUGGAAUUUCCUGUGUAGCGGUGAAAUGCGUAGAUAUAGGAAGGAACACCAGUGGCGAAGGCGACUACCUGGACUGAUACUGACACUGAGGUGCGAAAGCGUGGGGAGCAAACAGGAUUAGAAACCCCUGUAGUCC